RNAcentral lists this ribosomal RNA (309 nucleotides) under uncultured Ulvibacter sp. Its description in RNAcentral is "bacterial SSU rRNA". It matches the Rfam family "Bacterial small subunit ribosomal RNA", at positions 28 to 334 of the family's 1533-position model. Lineage: Bacteria; Pseudomonadati; Bacteroidota; Flavobacteriia; Flavobacteriales; Flavobacteriaceae. The record is from RNAcentral.
GAUGAACGCUAGCGGCAGGCCUAACACAUGCAAGUCGAGGGGUAACAGGGAUUGCUUGCAAUCCGCUGACGACCGGCGCACGGGUGCGUAACGCGUAUACAAUCUACCUUGUACUAGGGGAUAGCCUUUAGAAAUGAAGAUUAAUACCCUAUAGUCUAUUUGAAUGGCAUCGUUUAAAUAGUAAAGGUUACGGUACAAGAUGAGUAUGCGUCCUAUUAGUUAGUUGGUGUGGUAACGGCACACCAAGACUACGAUAGGUAGGGGCCCUGAGAGGGGGAUCCCCCACACUGGUACUGAGACACGGACCAG